UACGGAGGGGGCUAGCGUUGUUCGGAAUUACUGGGCGUAAAGGGCUCGUAGGCGGCCAACUAAGUCAGACGUGAAAUCCCUCGGCUUAACCGGGGAACUGCGUGUGAUACUGGAUGGCUUGGAUUUGGGAGAGGGAUGCGGAAUUCCAGGUGUAGCGGUGAAAUGCGUAGAUAUCUGGAGGAACACCGGUGGCGAAGGCGGCGUUCUGGACUGCAACUGACACUGAGGAACGAAAGCCAGGGGAGCAAACGGG
RNAcentral lists this ribosomal RNA (253 nucleotides) under uncultured bacterium. RNAcentral describes it as "partial 16S ribosomal RNA". It matches the Rfam family "Bacterial small subunit ribosomal RNA", at positions 524 to 776 of the family's 1533-position model. The record is from RNAcentral.